UACAGAGGGUGCGAGCGUUAAUCGGAGUUACUGGGCGGAAAGGGCGCGUAGGCGGUUAUUUAAGUUAGAUGUGAAAUCCCUGGGCUUAACCUAGGAACUGCAUCUGAUACUGGAUAGCUAGAGUAUUGUAGAGGGUAGUGGAAUUUCCGGUGUAGCGGUGAAAUGCGUAGAGAUCGGAAGGAACACCAGUGGCGAAGGCGGCUACCUGGACAAAUACUGACGCUGAGGCGCGAAAGCGUGGGGAGCAAACAGG
RNAcentral lists this ribosomal RNA (253 nucleotides) under uncultured bacterium. RNAcentral describes it as "partial 16S ribosomal RNA". It matches the Rfam family "Bacterial small subunit ribosomal RNA", at positions 524 to 776 of the family's 1533-position model. The record is from RNAcentral.